This 596-nucleotide ribosomal RNA is filed under the name Peltaster fructicola. RNAcentral describes it as "eukaryotic LSU rRNA". It matches the Rfam family "Eukaryotic large subunit ribosomal RNA", at positions 41 to 664 of the family's 3401-position model. Lineage: Eukaryota; Fungi; Ascomycota; Dothideomycetes. The record is from RNAcentral.
UAUCAAUAAGCGGAGGAAAAGAAACCAACAGGGAUUGCCCUAGUAACGGCGAGUGAAGCGGCAACAGCUCAAAUUUGAAAUCUGGCGUCUUCGGCGUCCGAGUUGUAAUUUGUAGAGGAUGCUUCUGGGUUGUCACCGGUUUAAGUUCCCUGGAACGGGACGUCAUAGAGGGUGAGAAUCCCGUGUGUGACCGGCCGACUCCCUCCACGUAGCUCCUUCGACGAGUCGAGUUGUUUGGGAAUGCAGCUCUAAAUGGGAGGUAAAUUUCUUCUAAAGCUAAAUAUCUGCCAGAGACCGAUAGCGCACAAGUAGAGUGAUCGAAAGAUGAAAAGCACUUUGGAAAGAGAGUUAAAAAGCACGUGAAAUUGUUGAAAGGGAAGCGUUUGCAAUCAGACUUGUCUGCGGCGUUCAGCCGGUCUUUUGACCGGCCUACUCGUCGUAAGCAGGCCAGCAUCACUUGGUGCCGCGGGAUAAUAACUUUGGAAUGUGGCUCCUCGGAGUGUUAUAGCCAAUGUUGAUGCCGCGCGCGCCGAGUGAGGUCCGCGUUCGCUAGGAUGCUGGCGUAAUGGUUGUAAACGGCCCGUCUUGAAACACGG